RNAcentral lists this ribosomal RNA (368 nucleotides) under uncultured Desulfobulbus sp. RNAcentral's name for it is "bacterial SSU rRNA". It matches the Rfam family "Bacterial small subunit ribosomal RNA", at positions 1013 to 1382 of the family's 1533-position model. Lineage: Bacteria; Pseudomonadati; Thermodesulfobacteriota; Desulfobulbia; Desulfobulbales; Desulfobulbaceae. The record is from RNAcentral.
CCAUCUGGAAGAAUACUGGAGACAGGUGCUGCAUGGCUGUCGUCAGCUCGUGUCGUGAGAUGUUGGGUUAAGUCCCGCAACGAGCGCAACCCUUGCCUUUAGUUGCCAGCAGUUCGGCUGGGCACUCUAAAGGGACUGCCGGUGUUAAACCGGAGGAAGUGGGGAUGACGUCAAGUCCUCAUGGCCUUUAUGACCAGGGCUACACACGUACUACAAUGGCCGAUACAAAGGGCAGCGACACUGCGAGGUGAAGCCAAUCCCGUAAAAUCGGUCUCAGUCCGGAUUGGAGUCUGCAACUCGACUCCAUGAAGUUGGAAUCGCUAGCAAUCGUGGAUCAGCAUGCCACGGUGAAUACGUUCCCGGGCCUU